Molecule: ribosomal RNA, 427 nt
Filed under: uncultured bacterium
Lineage: Bacteria
Description: bacterial SSU rRNA
Rfam family: Bacterial small subunit ribosomal RNA
Source: RNAcentral
GUGAGGAAUAUUGCACAAUGGGCGAAAGCCUGAUGCAGCAACGCCGCGUGAGGGACGAAGGCCUUCGGGUUGUAAACCUCUUUUCUGAGAGACGAGACAAGGACGGUACCUCAGGAAUAAGUCUCGGCUAACUACGUGCCAGCAGCCGCGGUAAGACGUAGGAGGCGAGCGUUAUCCGGAUUUACUGGGCGUAAAGCGCACGCAGGCGGCUUCGUUAGUCGGAUGUGAAAGCUCCUGGCUUAACCGGGAGAGGCCAUUCGAUACUGCGAGGCUUGAGGUUGGGAGAGGGGUGUGGAAUUCCCGGUGUAGUGGUGGAAUGCGUAGAUAUCGGGAGGAACACCUGUGGCGAAAGCGGCACCCUGGCCCACACCUGACGCUGAGGUGCGAAAGCGUGGGUAGCAAACAGGAUUAGAUACCCCAGUAGUCC